ACGCACGCUGGCGGCGUGCUUCACACAUGCCAGUCGAACGGAAAGGCCCUGCUUUUGUGGGGUGCUCGAGUGGCGAACGGGUGAGUAACACGUGAGUAACCUGCCCUUGACUUUGGGAUAACUUCAGGAAACUGGGGCUAAUACCGGAUAGGAGCUCCUGCUGCAUGGUGGGGGUUGGAAAGUUUCGGCGGUUGGGGAUGGACUCGCGGCUUAUCAGCUUGUUGGUGGGGUAGUGGCUUACCAAGGCUUUGGCGGGUAGCCGGCCUGAGAGGGUGACCGGCCACAUUGGGACUGAGAUACGGCCCAGACUCCUACGGGAGGCAGCAGUGGGGAAUAUUGCACAAUGGGCGGAAGCCUGAUGCAGCAACGCCGCGUGCGGGAUGACGGCCUUCGGGUUGUAAACCGCUUUCGCCUGUGACGAAGCGUGAGUGACGGUAAUGGGUAAAGAAGCACCGGCUAACUACGUG
Molecule: ribosomal RNA, 467 nt
Filed under: uncultured bacterium
Lineage: Bacteria
Description: partial 16S ribosomal RNA
Rfam family: Bacterial small subunit ribosomal RNA
Source: RNAcentral